This 301-nucleotide ribosomal RNA is filed under the name uncultured bacterium. RNAcentral's name for it is "partial 16S ribosomal RNA". It matches the Rfam family "Bacterial small subunit ribosomal RNA", at positions 509 to 809 of the family's 1533-position model. The record is from RNAcentral.
CAGUCGCCGCGGUAAUACGUAGGUGGCAAGCGUUGUCCGGAAUUAUUGGGCGUAAAGCGCGCGCAGGCGGAUCAGUCAGUCUGUCUUAAAAGUUCGGGGCUUAACCCCGUGAUGGGAUGGAAACUGCUGAUCUAGAGUAUCGGAGAGGAAAGUGGAAUUCCUAGUGUAGCGGUGAAAUGCGUAGAUAUUAGGAAGAACACCAGUGGCGAAGGCGACUUUCUGGACGAAAACUGACGCUGAGGCGCGAAAGCCAGGGGAGCGAACGGGAUUAGAUACCCCGGUAGUCCCUGUCUCUUAUACA